CCUACGGGAGGCAGCAGUGGGGAAUAUUGCACAAUGGGGGAAACCCUGAUGCAGCGACGCCGCGUGAGUGAAGAAGUAUUUCGGUAUGUAAAGCUCUAUCAGCAGGGAAGAAGAAAGACGGUACCUGACUAAGAAGCCCCGGCUAACUACGUGCCAGCAGCCGCGGUAAUACGUAGGGGGCAAGCGUUAUCCGGAUUUACUGGGUGUAACGGGAGCGUAGACGGCUGUGCAAGUCUGAAGUGAAAGCCCAGGGCUUAACCCUGGGACUGCUUUGGAAACUGUGGAGCUAGAGUGCUGGAGAGGUAAGUGGAAUUCCUAGUGUAGCGGUGAAAUGCGUAGAGAUUAGGAGGAACACCAGUGGCGAAGGCGGCUUACUGGACAGUAACUGACGUUGAGGCUCGAAAGCGUGGGGAGCAAACAGGAUUAGAUACCCUUGUAGUC
This 441-nucleotide ribosomal RNA is filed under the name uncultured bacterium. Its description in RNAcentral is "partial 16S ribosomal RNA". It matches the Rfam family "Bacterial small subunit ribosomal RNA", at positions 338 to 795 of the family's 1533-position model. The record is from RNAcentral.